RNAcentral lists this long non-coding RNA (937 nucleotides) under Dunaliella salina. RNAcentral describes it as "long non-coding RNA (DSAL_LNC000298)". The record is from RNAcentral. Lineage: Eukaryota; Viridiplantae; Chlorophyta; Chlorophyceae; Chlamydomonadales; Dunaliellaceae.
GCAAGGAAGUUGAUGUGCCUGGAGCUGUGUUUAACAAUCACACCCCUGGGCUAUUCUUCAGGUGAGUUUGGCAUGCUUUGUGGACACAGCAAGUGCACAAAGUGCUGGAAGUCUUUCGACACAGCGCUGUGAUGGAUGCACCUCCUGACUUCGUUCUGUCCAAUGUGAGGAAGAUCUUGCAGCCUAUCCACCCUCUCCUGAUGAUGUGUACUGCAGGGCUUACAUCAUGGGCCCAGACUCAGGGCAUGCCUCAGCUGUGGUGCUCCGCAUGAUAGACAACCCACGCAGCAGGUGGGUUUGCUGAGUAAAGUCCAGGGGCUGAUCUGCUGAAAACUUGUGGGUUCCCUCUUCUUGAUGCAGCAAGCCUGGCUGUCUCUCACAAGCUCACCUGCUGCUUUGUUCUCAUUCUGAUGAGAGGGAAAGAAGAGGAGACAGGGCUCAGGGCUUCCCCUUGGGUGCCUGCACCCACAGGUACUACUUCCAUGCCUCAGAGGUGCGCGGCUGGCUGCAGAUGAUGGAGCUGAGAGCCUUGGCUGAGGAUGACAGUGGAAUGGAUGAGCAAGGUAGGAAGUUCYGGUGGCUAGCAAGYGUUGCGUGCUCCUGUGCAUCUUUGUGAAGUCACAAUGCAGAUGGGUGUGUCURWGGGUKGGUGUACURAGGUGCAUGCCUGGAGUCUCCAUGCCGACUGAAACGACACCUUCCGCACUGURAAGGCCGAAAAAAGUGUGACGUUUGAYGCAGCRUGAGUUGCAAUCCUUGAUCUGUGACAUGAYGUCAUCUCAUGACGCUUGCACAUUGCAGACACCCUUGAUGAUGCCUUUGCUGCCGAGGUGCUGGCUCAUAUGUCCACAGGGGGCAGCAGCGCCCCCCCCUCCCCCUCCUCCUCCAUCAACACCAUGCAGCCGGCAGCCAGGUCCCCCAUAUCUCAGCCACAAGC